GUUUGAAUUUAUUUAACUAAUAGGCUAAUAUCUAUUACUUUCCCUCCACUUUCUCAAUAACCAAACAACAAAACAUACUUAAACAAAAAGAGGAGCGUUUGGACACAUCAAUCCGUUCCAACAAAUGAAAUUUUAAAAUCAAAUAUGGAGAAUCCAAUAAUCAUAAAAUUGAAAAAAAAAAAAAGUUAAGAUUCGACCAAAUCUCUGUCAUUUGAACAUUGAUCUGCUCAUAGCGGAAACAUGCAAAUAGAAAGCGCCCUACCUAUUAAAAUCUUAAGUUAUAAUAAAAAAUUCUGGUGUUGAAGUAACCGUACCAAAUUACUUAGUUUCCUUCACUUUCUCAACAACCGGUAAAAAAGAGAGUUUUCCUCCUUCCUUUUAACAAUGACCACCAUUAGACUGCAUGUCUGAAGUGUUUCCUAUCAUCGCACGAAAGCUGCAGUACAUACAACCUAAAUUUUCAUCAUUGUCCAAACUGCAUUUGUUGAGGGUAAUCAAACAGCUUCUUUAACAGAGGAAGUAGCCCAAUCAAAGCUAUUUGAAGCUGCUCUGAGCUAUUUAUGCGAAUACUGAUUUGUCCUGCCCCCCUGUUAUUCAAAUUUCCACGAGCAAUUAAAUUUGUAGACCGCCCUAUAGGCACCUGAGAUUGAAUAUUGCAACCAACAGCAAGAUCUCCAUGCCAAUCCAUGACAGAGAGCCCAAGUGUCGAUAGGGAACGACCCAAAGGAUAAUCCUUGUCUCUCAGCUGUGCCUCUAAACUGCCACCAUAAGCUACAUCACCACGGCCAGUCAUUGCACCCCCAGACAGGACCAUUCGGAACCGUUUAUUGACAAUCAAUUUAUCUUCAACUUUCAGUCCAGCUGAUAAGGCGUCACCCAAGAGGGUGACUGAGAGACCAGCUGUUGCCUUAUUCUUCCUGUAAUUACAAAACUUUGCCUCACUACGUAAAGUAUAAGCCAAAUCCUUCCCCACAGUCUGCAUAUCAAAACCUAGUGAAGUGGAUUUCCCAUCCCCAUGCUUUAUAGAGCUUGCCAAUUCCAUUUGAACAUUGGCAUCCUUUUUAUCCUUUGUUACCUGCCCAGAAAAAGAUAAAGGAAUUUUGUCUUUCACCACAAACAAUCUUUCUACAUUUAUACCUUCAUAACCAACAUCAUGAUCCCAACCAUGAGUUUCUAGAACAGGCCUCACAAGCCACUGGUUGGAGGUAUCAAGAUAACGAUACCGAUGUGUGGGAUUAUCAGAAUCAAAAGAAGCAGGCAAUGCUAAAUCUGGCAUUGGAACUGGCACAGAUGCAGCGCCACCGCUUUCCUCUUCUGCAUUUUCACUGUAAUCACUAGGCAAAUCCUUAGCAGCAGCAGCCAUUUUCUUCGUCAUUUUUCGUCGAUUUUUCUCCUCCUUCAACUGCUUCCUCAUCAAAAGCUUUUCCCUAUAUUCUAACUCGUCAAAAUAUGCCUUUUUCUGAGCUCUAGUAAGCUUGGCCACCUGGGCCUUUGUCAAACUUUUAAAUGGUGGCAAAUCAUCAUAUUCAGAUUCAUCCUCAGAAUCCGAUGACUCUUCCAAAUCAUCAUCAAUACCAUCCUCAUCACCAAACUGCUCCUCAGGCAGCUUAACUUGUGGUCUUGACUGGAGAAGGGAUGAGAGCAGAAAUGGUAAAGGAGGUGCCCUUGAUCGAGUUGCAAAAGGUUUCCCUGGUGGACUGUCUUGCAACUUCAAAAGCGCGUUUGCUUCAGCAAGAAUCUUUGAUGCAAAAGACAGCAAUAACAAAUGAGGUUUCCAAACCUGGCCAUUUGGCAACACCCUCUGCCCAGCCCUAUUUGUCCUGCAUGCUGAGUGGUUCUCUACUAAUGAAACUGGAUUCAUAAGCCGCAUAUCACCAGCUGCCUGACGGAUUGCUUGUUGAACAACAUGAGAACGUUGAGUGACAAACAUGUCAUAACUUGAAGCAGUACCAUUUGGCCCAUCAGGUGGAGCAGACGCUGCAUGAGUCAGGACCACAAUUGCAUUAAACCAUAUGGAUGGACCAAAUAUAUCAGUGAUGGUGCGUAAGAGAGGCAUAUCACCAAAAUCCCUGCUCUGCAUGUCUAACCUAUCCAGAUACAAAACAAUGUCUGGAGGAGUUCUCUUGAUAAAGUACUUAACAGAGUUAAGAAUCUUUUCAUUCUGGCGCUGGUCAGACCCAGAAGGUAGGAGACCUGGUGUAUCUAUGACCCGUACCUUAAUCCCUUGAACAGUGCCAACAACAUCCUGAACUUUUUUUGUACCUAAUUGAAAAGCAUCAGUGCCAAACUUUACUUCAUCAAAUAUUGAAUUGAUGGUUGCACUUUUACCAACUCCUGUCUUCCCAAGAACCAUAAUUGUACAAGAGAAAUCAAGGGGUUCCUGCCCAGCUGCCUCAAGCUGCUCAGCCAUGGCACUUGCACGAUCAAAACUGAAGGCACCAACACGGCCCCCAUUUCUCCCUCGCAGCUGUUCAGCUAAUCCCAGCCUGUAGAGAACCUGUGCUACAACAACAUUAUGUGGAGUCUGCCCUAGCCUAUGGGCAAGCCGCAAAAAUUUCACCCUAAUCAUCUGCAGUUUUUCACGAGUCUCAUUGUACUCAUCACCCUCCCCAUUGGUAGGGUCUUCAAUCUGUUGGGAUUGCACCUGAGACGCAGUUCCAUUAACACGUUGCUGCUGCUGCUGCUGCACUGCCCUAGGUGCAGGUUCCAGUAGUGGGGCGGCACGCCCAAGGCCCGCUGGACGAACAGGCGUAGGAGCAGGACCAGUGGAUUUUUCAGACAGCGAGGCAAGCUUUUCUGGAGUUGGAAUUUCUCGUUCACCAUUUCCUUGAGUUCUUUUCUUCUCUUCAUGAUCUUUUUCCACUUUAUUUUUUGGCUCCUCAAUCACAUUACUCUCUUUGCCAACACCAUUAACUUUUUCAUCAGCACACGGUGGUUCAGUUUUGUUAUACUCUUCUCUAAGAGUUGCUGAAGUAGCUACACAAUCUCGAAUAUCCUCAUUACUCUCAUUCACAAACUUCUCUGAGAGUAAGUUCAAAAUUUCUGGUGCUGCUGUUGCUUCAACUGUAUGUGGGACAGCUGAAUUAGCAUUCAGGUCAUGAAUUUCCUCAUGAUGCCCAGAAUCCACUGGAACAGAGGUGUCUUUCACAUCUCCAUUGCUACCACCUUGGAGCCCCAUGUCCAAAUUUGUUGAAUUAUAGAUCAAUUGUUCACUCUCAGGAACCCCAUUCCCAGAAGCAAGGACAGUAUCAUCACCUUUCAAUUCUCCACUUUUCUCAACCUUAUGACAUUCAGUGUCAACUUUAGGUACAUUAUCAUUCAAAGCAUCACCAUUAUCCUCUUGAAGCUGGACUACACCAACAGAUCCUCCAGUGUUGUGAUAUACAGUACCCAAUUCAUCCUUCUUCAGUUCCUCCAUCUUACCAUCCUCAGACAGAAUCUCCCUGCUCAAUCCAACCUCAUGACUACAUUUCACCCCAACUGCACCCAUCGAAACCUCAUUUCCUCCAUCUCCACCAAUCUCAGAGACCUCCUUUUCUCCAUUCAAUUCAUGGCAAACCACUUCACUAGUAGUCCCACCCUCAUCAAUCUUAUCAACACUAUCACCACCAACCAAAUCCUUCGACCUUUCUCCACCAACCACUGCAGCCAAAUCCUCAAGGUCCCCAGCCUCAACAAGAGCACCAACUGCCUCCUCAAAUGUCUCCGCUUCAUUUUCCAUAUUUGAGUUCUCAUCCACCACAAGUGAACUGGAAUCACCCACAGUCUUAACACAGACACCAAAUUCAGAUUUUGCUCCCAGGUCCUGCAACUGCUCUGGUGAAUCAAUUCCCUCUGGUGAAUCAACUGCCUCCUCAAAAACCUCAUCUUCAAAAUCUUUCAACCUAUCAGACCCCACCAAAACCCUCUCCUCUACCUUAUCCCCAGAAACCUGAUUUUCCACAUUUUUUUCCUCUCCCAAUUGGGGCCCACCAACGCUCGUAACCCCAUUUUCCAUUUUCAAUAUGUCUCAGCCGCAAAAACCCUAGAUUCACCAAAACCCCAAAAAUCAAAAAUCGAAAAUCGAAAUGGAAACAAUACGGCCAAAACAACAAUAAUCAUCGUAAUCAAUCACAUAUUCAACCAGCCAACGAAUUAAAUCCAAAAACCCUAAAACAGAAUUCCAUUUCUCAUUCGAAAAUAAAUGCAAACAAAAACAAUGGAUCUCUAAUCCAAUACAAUAUAUACAAUAACCAAACCAAAAUCUCAAAUCUGAAGAGCCCAUUUAUAGGUUCUCCAAUAGGGUUUUUUCAGGAAAUAAAAGCAAAAGAAAAUGUGAGAAAGCAAUUAAAAAAAACAUUAUACAAACGUAAAAGAGAAAAAGCUUACCUGAUUUUGUGGACAACUAUAGA
Molecule: unclassified non-coding RNA, 4391 nt
Filed under: Hevea brasiliensis (rubber tree)
Lineage: Eukaryota; Viridiplantae; Streptophyta; Magnoliopsida; Malpighiales; Euphorbiaceae
Source: RNAcentral